This 863-nucleotide ribosomal RNA is filed under the name Nalepella torreyae. RNAcentral's name for it is "partial large subunit ribosomal RNA". It matches the Rfam family "Eukaryotic large subunit ribosomal RNA", at positions 367 to 944 of the family's 3401-position model. Lineage: Eukaryota; Metazoa; Arthropoda; Arachnida; Trombidiformes; Phytoptidae. The record is from RNAcentral.
CAAAGUACUUUGAAGAGAGAGUUAAACAGGGCGUGAAACCGCUAGCUGGUAAACGAGUGGAGCCACGAAGUCGUUUCGUAGAAUAAAGAAUACAAAUUCAGUUGGGGUCUCGGCUCUAAUGCACUUUUGUUUAUUCUUCUAUGUAUGCGUACACUGCAACCAAUUAGACAAUCAAUUGUGGAAACAAUUAUGCUUAACCGUAGGUAGCCUGGUGUGAUCCUUGUGGUCAUUUUGGGUGUAUGAUGGUUAUCAUGAGAACUACAAUUGAAUACUGAUUGGCAAAAUGAAAAUCCAUAAUCUGGUUUUAGAUAACACUAGCAAUGUUGUAUGUGUGUACAAGUAUUUAUCAUUAGCGUAAGCCUAGUAGUUUUAAAUUUAGGCUGGCAAGCUACCUUUGAUUUCGGUCUUUGGUGCUUGUUUAGUUUCCUAUCUAAUUGGCUAUUAACUUUGCUAGUGGUUUUGUGCUUGCUAUGUUGGCAUAUAUGCAACAAUUGUCAAGUUAUUAUUGGCAGUGAGUAGGUCGGCUUUCCACACGACCCGUCUUGAAACACGGACCAAGGAGUCUAGUUAAGUAUCGAGUUGAUCGGUCUUGAUUAGGCCAGACAGAGAAAUUCUUCUCGAUUAAAGCAAAGUGACAAUUAUGUGAUCUCUAUGAAAAUAGACUAAGCGCAACAUAUACCCAUUCGUAUAACUAUACGCGCAAGUUUAGUUGGUGGAGUAAAGAGAUACUUGACUGGUACCCGAAAGAUGGUGAUGCCUGGGCAAAUUGAAGCCAGAGGAAACUCUGGUGGAGGAUUUAGCGAUUCUGACGUGCAAAUCGAUCGUCAGACCUGGGUUAGGGGCGAAAGACUAAUCGAACCAUC